GGGGAUUUAGUUCAGCGGUAGAGCGCUUGCCUAGCAAGCACAAGGCCCUGGGUUCAGUCCCCAGCUCCG
Molecule: transfer RNA, 69 nt
Filed under: Rattus norvegicus (Norway rat)
Lineage: Eukaryota; Metazoa; Chordata; Mammalia; Rodentia; Muridae
Rfam family: tRNA
About the family: Transfer RNA (tRNA) molecules are approximately 80 nucleotides in length.
Source: Rfam by way of RNAcentral